GAUGAACGCUGGCGGCGUGCCUAAUACAUGCAAGUCGAGCGAACGGACGAGAAGCUUGCUUCUCUGAUGUUAGCGGCGGACGGGUGAGUAACACGUGGAUAACCUACCUAUAAGACUGGGAUAACUUCGGGAAACCGGAGCUAAUACCGGAUAAUAUUUUGAACCGCAUGGUUCAAAAGUGAAAGACGGUCUUGCUGUCACUUAUAGAUGGAUCCGCGCUGCAUUAGCUAGUUGGUAAGGUAACGGCUUACCAAGGCAACGAUGCAUAGCCGACCUGAGAGGGUGAUCGGCCACACUGGAACUGAGACACGGUCCAGACUCCUACGGGAGGCAGCAGUAGGGAAUCUUCCGCAAUGGGCGAAAGCCUGACGGAGCAACGCCGCGUGAGUGAUGAAGGUCUUCGGAUCGUAAAACUCUGUUAUUAGGGAAGAACAUAUGUGUAAGUAACUGUGCACAUCUUGACGGUACCUAAUCAGAAAGCCACGGCUAACUACGUGCCAGCAGCCGCGGUAAUACGUAGGUGGCAAGCGUUAUCCGGAAUUAUUGGGCGUAGAGCGCGCGUAGGCGGUUUUUUAAGUCUGAUGUGAAAGCCCACGGCUCAACCGUGGAGGGUCAUUGGAAACUGGAAAACUUGAGUGCAGAAGAGGAAAGUGGAAUUCCAUGUGUAGCGGUGAAAUGCGCAGAGAUAUGGAGGAACACCAGUGGCGAAGGCGACUUUCUGGUCAGUAACUGACGCUGAUGUGCGAAAGCGUGGGGAUCAAACAGGAUUAGAUACCCUGGUAGUCCACGCCGUAAACGAUGAGUGCUAAGUGUUAGGGGGUUUCCGCCCCUUAGUGCUGCAGCUAACGCAUUAAGCACUCCGCCUGGGGAGUACGACCGCAAGGUUGAAACUCAAAGGAAUUGACGGGGACCCGCACAAGCGGUGGAGCAUGUGGUUUAAUUCGAAGCAACGCGAAGAACCUUACCAAAUCUUGACAUCCUUUGACAACUCUAGAGAUAGAGCCUUCCCCUUCGGGGGACAAAGUGACAGGUGGUGCAUGGUUGUCGUCAGCUCGUGUCGUGAGAUGUUGGGUUAAGUCCCGCAACGAGCGCAACCCUUAAGCUUAGUUGCCAUCAUUAAGUUGGGCACUCUAAGUUGACUGCCGGUGACAAACCGGAGGAAGGUGGGGAUGACGUCAAAUCAUCAUGCCCCUUAUGAUUUGGGCUACACACGUGCUACAAUGGACAAUACAAAGGGCAGCGAAACCGCGAGGUCAAGCAAAUCCCAUAAAGUUGUUCUCAGUUCGGAUUGUAGUCUGCAACUCGACUACAUGAAGCUGGAAUCGCUAGUAAUCGUAGAUCAGCAUGCUACGGUGAAUACGUUCCCGGGUCU
RNAcentral lists this ribosomal RNA (1372 nucleotides) under uncultured bacterium. Its description in RNAcentral is "bacterial SSU rRNA". It matches the Rfam family "Bacterial small subunit ribosomal RNA", at positions 28 to 1381 of the family's 1533-position model. The record is from RNAcentral.